Molecule: long non-coding RNA, 396 nt
Organism: Passer domesticus (house sparrow)
Lineage: Eukaryota; Metazoa; Chordata; Aves; Passeriformes; Passeridae
Exons: 3
Source: RefSeq, a predicted model, not a curated record
UGUUUUGUUUUUCUGAAGAGACAGAUUCUGAGACUGUGCCGGAGACCUUAGCUGUGGAAGAAAGUGACAGUGUGCCAGGCUCACAUGAAAAAAGAGAACCAAUAGAGGACACCAGGACACUUGCUGAGCCUGAGGAAUAUUCAGGGUCAUCCGGUGGGCAAAAAGCCCAGACUGCUGGACACUGUGACCCGAGCAAGUACUACAUCCUAGUAGGGACAGUAGCAGCCUCAGCUUUGCUUCUGCUUGGGGCAGUGUCUGGCUAUCUAGUCAUGCAUCAGCUGCUGAAGAGAGACAGGAGGAGCCAGGAGGACAAAGAGGCAACAGGACAGGACUGGGACUCUUCCUGGGAAAGCUGUGGUCAGCCUAGAGGUGAAGCAGAGUCAGGAGAAGGAGCGG